AGAGUUUGAUCAUGGCUCAGAACGAACGCUGGCGGCAUGCCUAACACAUGCAAGUCGAACGGAACUUUGGUUCAGUGGCGGACGGGUGAGUAACGCGUAGGAACCUGCCGAGUAGUGGGGAAUAACAGCUGGAAACGGCUGCUAAUACCGCAUACGCCCUUCGGGGGAAAGAUUUAUCGCUAUUUGAGGGUCCUGCGUUCGAUUAGCUUGUUGGCGGGGUAACGGCCCACCAAGGCAACGAUCGAUAGCUGGUCUGAGAGGAUGAUCAGCCACACUGGGACUGAGACACGGCCCAGACUCCUACGGGAGGCAGCAGUGGGGAAUAUUGGACAAUGGGGGAAACCCUGAUCCAGCAAUGCCGCGUGCGUGAAGAAGGCCUUAGGGUUGUAAAGCGCUUUCACCUGCGAUGAUGAUGACAGUAGCAGGAGAAGAAGCCCCGGCUAACUCCGUGCCAGCAGCCGCGGUAAUACGGAGGGGGCUAGCGUUGUUCGGAAUCACUGGGCGUAAAGGGCGUGUAGGCGGCGGAUUUAGUUAGGCGUGAAAGCCCCGGGCUCAACCUGGGAACUGCGCUUAAUACUGGUCUGCUAGAGUCCGGGAGAGGCGAGUGAAAUAUCCAGUGUAGAGGUGAAAUUCGUAGAUAUUGGAUGGAACACCGAUGGCGAAAGCAGCUCGCUGGACCGGAACUGACGCUGAGCGCGAAAGCGUGGGAGCAAACAGGAUUAGAUACCCUGUAGUCCACGCUGUAAACGAUGUUCACUAGACGUCGGGGGUUAGGCCUUCGGUGUCGCAGCUAACGCAUUAAGUGAACCGCCUGGGGAGUACGGGCCGCAAGGUUAAAAC
Molecule: ribosomal RNA, 840 nt
Filed under: uncultured bacterium
Lineage: Bacteria
Description: bacterial SSU rRNA
Rfam family: Bacterial small subunit ribosomal RNA
Source: RNAcentral